UGAGCCAAGUUUAGGGUUUUCUCAAAACCMAAGCAGUAUUGAACUGAAGAGUUUGAUCAUGGCUC
RNAcentral lists this ribosomal RNA (65 nucleotides) under Pseudomonas aeruginosa. Its description in RNAcentral is "partial 16S ribosomal RNA". Lineage: Bacteria; Pseudomonadati; Pseudomonadota; Gammaproteobacteria; Pseudomonadales; Pseudomonadaceae. The record is from RNAcentral.